RNAcentral lists this transfer RNA (74 nucleotides) under Actinomycetota bacterium. Its description in RNAcentral is "tRNA-Arg". It matches the Rfam family "tRNA". From Rfam's summary of the family: Transfer RNA (tRNA) molecules are approximately 80 nucleotides in length. Their secondary structure includes four short double-helical elements and three loops (D, anti-codon, and T loops). RNAcentral also lists the same sequence under 2 other names. Lineage: Bacteria; Bacillati; Actinomycetota. The record is from RNAcentral.
GCCCCCGUAGCUCAGUGGAUCAGAGCGUCGGACUUCUAAUCCGAGGGUCGCAGGUUCGAGUCCUGCCGGGGGCG